This 790-nucleotide ribosomal RNA is filed under the name uncultured bacterium. RNAcentral's name for it is "bacterial SSU rRNA". It matches the Rfam family "Bacterial small subunit ribosomal RNA", at positions 8 to 796 of the family's 1533-position model. The record is from RNAcentral.
AGAGUUUGAUCAUGGCUCAGGAUGAACGCUAGCGGCAGGCUUAAUACAUGCAAGUCGAACGGUAAGGUCUCUUCGGAGAUACACGAGUGGCGCACGGGUGCGUAACGCGUAUGCAAUCUACCUCAAACUGGGGAAUAGCCCCGAGAAAUCGGGAUUAAUACACCAUAACAUCUACGAAUCGCAUGGUUUGUAGAUUAAAGCUUCGGCGGUUUGAGAUGAGCAUGCGUGACAUUAGCUAGUUGGUGAGGUAACGGCUCACCAAGGCCACGAUGUCUAGGGGUCCUGAGAGGGUUAACCCCCACACUGGUACUGAGACACGGACCAGACUCCUACGGGAGGCAGCAGUAAGGAAUAUUGGGCAAUGGACGCAAGUCUGACCCAGCCAUGCCGCGUGCAGGAUGACGGCCCUAUGGGUUGUAAACUGCUUUUGUACGGGAAAAAUUCCCCGGUCGUGAAUCGGGGUUGAUGGUACUGUACGAAUAAGCAUCGGCUAACUCCGUGCCAGCAGCCGCGGUAAUACGGAGGAUGCAAGCGUUAUCCGGAUUUAUUGGGUUUAAAGGGUGCGCAGGCGGAAUGAUAAGUCAGUGGUGAAAUCUCCCAGCUUAACUGGGAAACUGCCAUUGAUACUGUCAUUCUUGAGUACAGUUGAAGUGGGCGGAAUGUGUCAUGUAGCGGUGAAAUGCAUAGAUAUGACACAGAACACCGAUAGCGAAGGCAGCUCACUAAGCUGUAACUGACGCUCAUGCACGAAAGCGUGGGGAUCAAACAGGAUUAGAUACCCUAGUAGUCC